GGUUCGUUGGUGUAGUUGGUUAUCACGUCUGUCUCACAUUGCAGCCCGGAUGGGUUGUGUGGUGCACAGGAGGUCCCCGGUUCGAGCCCGGGUCGAACCA
Molecule: non-coding RNA, 100 nt
Organism: Trametes maxima
Lineage: Eukaryota; Fungi; Basidiomycota; Agaricomycetes; Polyporales; Polyporaceae
Source: the annotation of a GenBank genome assembly